RNAcentral lists this long non-coding RNA (233 nucleotides) under Elaeis guineensis (African oil palm). RNAcentral's name for it is "long non-coding RNA (EGUI_LNC065917)". The record is from RNAcentral. Lineage: Eukaryota; Viridiplantae; Streptophyta; Magnoliopsida; Arecales; Arecaceae.
UAUGCUAGCAAGGUUCCUUGAACUCAAUUGGGUUUCUCUAAACUCAAUUAAUACUUCAUAAGUUUUAUUAUUAAUUUUAGAUCUAAUCCCUUUAUUGUGGGAUCCCAUAGAUUCAACUCUAUCUUGUAGUGAGAUAUACAAUGAUCUCUAUCAAAGUAUCAUUGAAACUCUUUUCAAUGAGUCGGAAUAAUUUCACUUUAACUCAUCAAAGAUUGUUGAUCCAGAAUAACCCC